This 218-nucleotide long non-coding RNA is filed under the name Nicotiana benthamiana. RNAcentral's name for it is "long non-coding RNA (NBEN_LNC026513)". Lineage: Eukaryota; Viridiplantae; Streptophyta; Magnoliopsida; Solanales; Solanaceae. The record is from RNAcentral.
UUUCUUAUGAAUGUUGUGUUUUGAUGAAAUUUGUUGUUUUAAUAUCAUGUUAAUCUUUACUUGAAUUAAAACAUUGUAUUAUGCAUGAUUUUAGUUGGUAGACAACAUGUUUUCUAGUUUAAGAUUCUUGUUGAAAAUCAUGUUAAAACAGUAAGGUUCACUGCUCCAAGGUAAUCGAUUAUUUUGGACAGAUAAUCGAUUAUCUUAGUCCAGUGAGU